This 253-nucleotide ribosomal RNA is filed under the name uncultured bacterium. Its description in RNAcentral is "partial 16S ribosomal RNA". It matches the Rfam family "Bacterial small subunit ribosomal RNA", at positions 524 to 776 of the family's 1533-position model. The record is from RNAcentral.
UACGAGGGGGGCGAGCGUUGUUCGGAAUUAUUGGGCGUAAAGGGUGCGUAGGCGGUUUGGUAAGUCUUGUGUGAAAUCUCUGGGCUCAACUCAGAGUCUGCACGAGAAACUGCCGGGCUUGAGUGUGGGAGAGGUGAGUGGAAUUCCUGGUGUAGCGGUGAAAUGCGUAGAUAUCAGGAGGAACACCAGAGGCGAAGGCGGUUACCUGGACAGUUACUGACGCUCAGGCACGAAAGCGUGGGGAGCAAAAGGG